Molecule: ribosomal RNA, 490 nt
Filed under: uncultured bacterium
Lineage: Bacteria
Description: partial 16S ribosomal RNA
Rfam family: Bacterial small subunit ribosomal RNA
Source: RNAcentral
AUUGAACGCUGGCGGCAGGCCUAACACAUGCAAGUCGAGCGGUAACAGGAAGCAGCUUGCUGCUUCGCUGGCGGGUGGCGUACGUGUGGGUUAUGUCUGUGAAACUUCCUGAUGGAGGGGGAUAACUACUGGAAACUGUAGCUAAUUCCGCAUAGCGUCGCAAGACCAAAGAGGGGGACCUUACGGCCUCUUGCCUUCGGCUGUGUCCAGUUGGGAUUAGCUAGUAGGUGGGGUAAAGGCUCACCUAGGCGACGAUCCCUAGCUGGUCUGAGAGGAUGACCAGCCACACUGGAACUGAGACACGGUCCAGACUCCUACGGGAGGCAGCAGUGGGGAAUAUUGCACAAUGGGCGAAAGCCUGAUGCAGCCAUGCCGCGUGUAUGAAGAAGGCCUUCGGGUUGUAAAGUACUUUCAGCGGGGAGGAAGGGAAUAAAGUUAAUACCUUUGCGCAUUGACGUUACCAGCAGAAGAAGCACCGGCUAACUCCGUG